Long non-coding RNA from Maylandia zebra (zebra mbuna), 811 nucleotides. RefSeq lists it as uncharacterized. The record is from RefSeq and is a predicted model, not a curated record. NCBI's taxonomy places the organism in Eukaryota, Metazoa, Chordata, Actinopteri, Cichliformes, Cichlidae.
UAAGAUGCACCUGAAACACAUUUUUACAACAGGGUCCUGUUGUUAUGAUUUGCCUCAUUGUGAUAUUCACCUACUCAGGUUAAUGAACAUAAAGGGAUAAAAUGUUGAGUGACUUUGUCCAUUCAUUUAAGACCACAGUGCACUCAUCUUCUGGUGGCUGCUUCCCAAAGCUCUUUUUGACAUUUAAAAAUAUGUUUGCCUGGUUGAUUUCUGUAAUGCACAGGUCCUCUUGUCCAGUGAGUGACAAAGUUAUUUUUGGACGUCAGCUUUCUUUUAUGCUUUUUGUACAGCUGCUCCUCUGUCUCUCUCUCCAGAUUAACUUUUUUUCUCUUACAUUCACAGGCUGUUAAUCGAUGGCUUUCAAAAUCAGAGUCCGGGGUCCAUGGGCUUUCUAACACCCAAAAGAGAAAUGAAAUCAUUUCUUUCUUUUGUAAGCUGAAAGCUUGCACAUCUGAGGACGACUUUAAAGCCACAUCAGCAGAGUUCUGCCAGACAUUUAAGCAAUACCCUUUGGUGUGCCAGUAUUUUCAGAAGCACUGGGAAGGCAUUGGCCACAUGUGGUGUGACUACGGCCGUCGCUUCAGUCACGCUCGUUCUGAAACAAACAAUGUGAUUGAAAGAUUUUUCCACCGCCUGAAAUACCAGUUUUUAUCUGGCUACAAGAAUAGGCGUCUGGAUGAUCUGAUUGAAGUGCUCCUAGGGAAGGCCGACGACUACUUCUCAGUCAUAAAAACCCUGCAAGAUGUGGGCCGCAUGAAAAACAGGUUUGCUGACACCUUGUCUCAAGUUUCAGACUCUGCUUCAAGACUGA